This is a non-coding RNA of Salvelinus sp. IW2-2015, 227 nucleotides long. The record is from RefSeq and is a predicted model, not a curated record. NCBI's taxonomy places the organism in Eukaryota, Metazoa, Chordata, Actinopteri, Salmoniformes, Salmonidae.
CUUGAAAAUGAGCUGGAGCUGAGAGGAUCACCAAAACUAAAGCGCAUACAAACAUGCCGACAACCAUCAUUGGACAAAGGGCUGGACAACGGGCUGCACCGAAAAAACGCAUGGUUGCCAAGAAAGCUGCCACUGUAAUCAAUGGGGGCUCAGGGCGGUACCAUUCUGCUCAUCUGAUGAAGGUGCUCAUGGAUCAGAUUCAAACUUUGAAGACCAAGAUCGAGUCA